GACGAACGCUGGCGGCGUGCUUAACACAUGCAAGUCGAACGGAAAGGCCCCUUUGGGGGUACUCGAGUGGCGAACGGGUGAGUAACACGUGAGUAACCUGCCCUUGACUUCGGGAUAACUUCAGGAAACUGGGGCUAAUACCGGAUAGGAAUCCUUGCUGCAUGGUGGGGGUUGGAAAGCUUCGGCGGUUUUGGAUGGACUCGCGGCUUAUCAGCUUGUUGGUGGGGUAGUGGCUUACCAAGGCUUUGACGGGUAGCCGGCCUGAGAGGGCGACCGGCCACAUUGGGACUGAGAUACGGCCCCGACUCCUACGGGAGGCAGCAGUGGGGAAGAUUGCACAAUGGGCGGAAGCCUGAUGCAGCAACGCCGCGUGCGGGAUGACGGCCUUCGGGUUGUAAACCGCUUUCAGCAGGGGCGAAGCUUGUGGUGACGGUACCUGCAGAAGAAGCACCGGCUAACUACGUG
RNAcentral lists this ribosomal RNA (465 nucleotides) under uncultured bacterium. Its description in RNAcentral is "partial 16S ribosomal RNA". It matches the Rfam family "Bacterial small subunit ribosomal RNA", at positions 28 to 507 of the family's 1533-position model. The record is from RNAcentral.